AUCAGGUGUUUGCUGAGAAGGUGAGAGACCAUAAGGAGUUGGUUUCGAGAUGGGCCGUUCUACAAGAGACACGGGUUGAGUAUUUCAGAGGGAAGGAUUUUGUUAUGGAUGAUUUAUGGGUGUUGGUUGCAUUAGACGAUGAUUAUUAUCCUGAAAGAGGUUCGGUUUCAAAAAGUAAACGGGGUUGCAGAAUGAUGUUUUUUCAAACUUAAGGCUGGAAUAAAAGUGGGUUUCUUGUCAUUUUCAUUAGUUUAUUUCAUAAUAAAGGAUUCCAGGGACUUUGAUGUUGUUGUUAUCAUGGAGAUUGAUGUUGAAUGCCUGACUUAAUUGACUAUUCAUGCUGCAGCAAUUUUCCAAUUCAGCCAAUACUCAGAUAAGUUUAACAGAUCUUAAGUUACUAUUUGAGAAUCGAAAUAGAUGCAGGGUACAUAUACAAAAAUUUAUCAAAUGUAUUCUUUUUUUCAUUGCUUUGUAACUAGAUUUUAUGCUAGUUUUUCACAGGUAUUUUACAUGUAGCAAACCAAUGUCGGGUUCACUAUGUCAUGAGUUUCAAGAAGCCAAAACUUUUGCAUCAUAGGAAAUGUUUUUGCCAUAUGAGAAUCGAGGGCUUUAACAGGUGCGGGAAAGUUCGGCUACUUGAAGAUUCGUCGGUGGGAUACAAAAAA
Vicia villosa (hairy vetch) is the source of this 665-nucleotide long non-coding RNA. RefSeq lists it as uncharacterized. The transcript has 5 exons. The record is from RefSeq and is a predicted model, not a curated record. Lineage: Eukaryota; Viridiplantae; Streptophyta; Magnoliopsida; Fabales; Fabaceae.